AGGGGCAUAGCCAAGAGGCAAGGCAAGGGGUUUUGGCCCCAUGAUUGCUGGUUCGAAUCCAGCCGCCUCUGCCA
Molecule: transfer RNA, 74 nt
Filed under: Oscillibacter sp.
Lineage: Bacteria; Bacillati; Bacillota; Clostridia; Eubacteriales; Oscillospiraceae
Description: tRNA-Gln
Rfam family: tRNA
About the family: Transfer RNA (tRNA) molecules are approximately 80 nucleotides in length.
Source: RNAcentral